This is a long non-coding RNA of Teleopsis dalmanni, 871 nucleotides long. RefSeq lists it as uncharacterized. NCBI's taxonomy places the organism in Eukaryota, Metazoa, Arthropoda, Insecta, Diptera, Diopsidae. The transcript has 5 exons. The record is from RefSeq and is a predicted model, not a curated record.
AAUGUUUCAAAAUUAAUAGUAUAAAAGUACAAAAUUGUGAACGUUACUUAAAAUAUAUACACCACGAGCUGUGUGGACACUACAAGCUAAUGAAUAAUAAUGUCUAUGGACAUUAUGGUAAGCUCUGUUCUAAUGUACAGCGUAUAUUAAUUGAUGAGCUCUUUUGCUUCUGGUAUUAUUCAAUGUCCAAUGACUGAACUAAAUCCAUCUAAGUUACCUGACUUGUCGAAUUACCACUUCUGAAGAAGCCGGAAAUUACUCUGUUUCUCUAAUCCCUCCGCCUGAAUUUUAUUAUCAGAGAGGAUUACAUGGGUUACAUGUUAGAGUCGCCUCACUCGAAUGGAGAUAAUGGAGACAUCUAAAGCAAAUCGAAGUGAUAUAAAUUCUAAUGCUAUACCUAAAUAGAAAAAUAUUUUACUAGACUUGGACUCAUAAUCAUAUUGGAUUUGAUAAAAAAAAAACAAAAAAUAAACACUCAUAUUUAAACGAUGAUGUUAAAAGGAACUAUCCGCGCUGCACAGAAAUGACGAGCUUAACCGUUACAAGGUUUACGUUAAUAAAAUUCUCAAGUGAACUGUGAGCUGUGAACUGGCGAAAUAAAUGACUUCUUCAUGACAUUAUGGUAAUUGCUUCUAACUUAUCGUAGUUUUGUGAGUUAUUAUCAAAAUCCAUAUGGUUUAUUUAAUUGACGAACAUUAAAGGAUCUUACAUGGAAGCUUAUAACAGCCGAUAUCGAUAAUUCCAGAUGAUGAAUCGAACGUGUGACCGACCACCCACGCGUAUGUACUAAUAUCUAUGUAUGAUCAAACUAACCCUGAUGAAUCCUUAUUAAUCAACGGAGCAUUUUGACUAGACCACAAAUCACAAAUCA